UNCAGAGAAGAUUAGCAUGGCCCCUGC
Molecule: non-coding RNA, 27 nt
Filed under: Mus musculus (house mouse)
Lineage: Eukaryota; Metazoa; Chordata; Mammalia; Rodentia; Muridae
Source: RNAcentral